CGGAGAACAACAUAUGAAGGAAGGUAAAGAAUAUGUCAUUGAAACAUACUACCCUGACAAGCGAAUAAAAUACAUUUCAAUAGUAGGUUUUCCAGGUGAUACAUACAGAGCUGAGCGAGCAGUCGGGGCCCUGAUUGAAGGAGAUCUCUUCAAUGCAGACAGAAAUACAUACGAUGAAAGCACUGACAGGAAA
Saccostrea echinata is the source of this 193-nucleotide long non-coding RNA. RefSeq lists it as uncharacterized. The record is from RefSeq and is a predicted model, not a curated record. The transcript is spliced from 3 exons. NCBI's taxonomy places the organism in Eukaryota, Metazoa, Mollusca, Bivalvia, Ostreida, Ostreidae.